RNAcentral lists this ribosomal RNA (223 nucleotides) under Escherichia coli. RNAcentral describes it as "partial 16S ribosomal RNA". It matches the Rfam family "Bacterial small subunit ribosomal RNA", at positions 1323 to 1533 of the family's 1533-position model. Lineage: Bacteria; Pseudomonadati; Pseudomonadota; Gammaproteobacteria; Enterobacterales; Enterobacteriaceae. The record is from RNAcentral.
AAGUCGGAAUCGCUAGUAAUCGUGGAUCAGAAUGCCACGGUGAAUACGUUCCCGGGCCUUGUACACACCGCCCGUCACACCAUGGGAGUGAGUUGCAAAAGAAGUAGGUAGCUUAACCUUCGGGAGGGCGCUUACCACUUUGUGAUUCAUGACUGGGGUGAAGUCGUAACAAGGUAACCGUAGGGGAACCUGCGGUUGGAUCACCUCCUUACCUUAAAGAAGC